GGGGCUGACCGGUUUCGACGUCGGGACCGGGAGCCGUUCGUGCGACCGGAGUUGCUCAGACUCCUUAAACGGGGCACCCAAAGAAGCGCCAAGGGCGACUUCGCUCUCGCCGCCUGACCAACAGGUGGUACGAGAGACAUCGCGACCAGCAAUGGCACGCGGGGCCUGACCGCUACAGCCCGGCAACAGAAGUAGCGGUGGACGGCGGGAAAGACCGCUGACGGCAGGCAAAGACCGCUGACAGCUCGGAAAGACGAGCCGGUGACCGGACUGCGGUAGCAGCCCGGUAGCCGACCCGGCGGUGCACCAGCCGUAGCCGGUGCGAACUCGGGAAUGGUCGUAGCGCGGUCGGUGACCGCUCGGCGGACGAGGGUUCGAUUCCCUCCAGCUCCACCG
This 396-nucleotide transfer-messenger RNA is filed under the name Acidimicrobiales. RNAcentral describes it as "JACPNX01 sp016185275 Standard tmRNA". It matches the Rfam family "transfer-messenger RNA". Rfam says of the family: Bacterial tmRNA, also known as 10Sa RNA or SsrA, is named for its dual tRNA and mRNA-like properties. RNAcentral also lists the same sequence under 1 other name. Lineage: Bacteria; Bacillati; Actinomycetota; Acidimicrobiia. The record is from RNAcentral.